Long non-coding RNA from Ctenopharyngodon idella (grass carp), 833 nucleotides. RefSeq lists it as uncharacterized. The record is from RefSeq and is a predicted model, not a curated record. The transcript has 2 exons. NCBI's taxonomy places the organism in Eukaryota, Metazoa, Chordata, Actinopteri, Cypriniformes, Xenocyprididae.
AUUAAGGAGUUAAAUGGAAAUAUGAUUUUCUUCUGGUCCAAAUUAAACAUAUUUAAUUUUUUAUAGAAUAUUGACAAAGCAAUCUUUAUUGCAAAGUGCGAAACAAUGAACUGUCAUAAUAAGGCACAAGCAGUUGUGAUGCCCAAGAGCGCAGGUACACUGGGCUGAAGGCGACUGUGAUUCGUGGACAUUCAGCUAAAUCACCUCUAACUUUGUUAGCAUAACCGUUUAUGUAUUUGUAGCAACCAUUCUUCCGCGCACAACAAGGAUGCCGAAUGUAGUGACGGAGGCGAUUAUUGAGUCUUAUGCGCUCAUGUUUUUGGUGAUGUCAGCGUUUUUUGUGUACUUUUGUGGCAUGGUCUGGGCAUUCUGCAACCCCAAACUCAGUGGCUUCGCUGAAGAAACAGAGUGCGACACGAGCAGUUUUUCACAAGUCCCUCUGCAACAAAUAUUUGCAGAUCCUGAGGAUGUGGAAACAACUCAUCCAACACACGGCAUUUGACCAGCUCCCAAUGUCUGGAUCACUCGAGUUACAUCGCUUCGUGCUAUAUUGUGGAUUAAUAUUUUGAAGUUUAAAGAAAACAGCACAAAAUUUGCUCCAGUCUCAUAAGUUUUAUUCAUAGUAAUUUACCGGAACAUCUGCACGCGUACUGAAACCAGAGAACACUCAAGAGAGAAAGGGAAGUGCUUCUCUGAUCUUCGUCACCAUGGCAACCCAUCAAUAUCUGCAACCCCCACACAUUGCUAACUCUCAUCUGGAGAAUUACAAUCAUUAGUUUCUGAUAUGUAUGUUUAUUUAAUGUUGUGUAGUUGAAUAAAUUGUUACAACUGCA